GAUGAACGCUGGCGGCGUGCUUAACACAUGCAAGUCGAACGAGAAUCAACGGAUUGAGGAUUCGUCCAAAUGAAGUUGAGGAAAGUGGCGGACGGGUGAGUUAACGCGUGAGGAACCUGCCUCGGAGUGGGGAAUAACAGUUGGAAACAGCUGCUAAUACCGCAUAAUGCAACGGAAUCGCAUGACCUCUGUUGCCAAAGAUUUAUCGCCCUGAGAUGGCCUCGCGUCUGAUUAGCUAGUUGGCGGGGUAACGGCCCACCAAGGCGACGAUCAGUAGCCGGUCUGAGAGGAUGAACGGCCACAUUGGGACUGAGACACGGCCCAG
Molecule: ribosomal RNA, 325 nt
Filed under: uncultured bacterium
Lineage: Bacteria
Description: bacterial SSU rRNA
Rfam family: Bacterial small subunit ribosomal RNA
Source: RNAcentral